RNAcentral lists this unclassified non-coding RNA (432 nucleotides) under soil metagenome. Its description in RNAcentral is "partial contains 5.8S ribosomal RNA, internal transcribed spacer 2, and large subunit ribosomal RNA". The stretch from base 1 to 120 matches the Rfam family "5.8S ribosomal RNA", at positions 35 to 154 of the family's 154-position model. The record is from RNAcentral.
GACGAAGAACGUAGCGAAAUGCGAUACGUAAUGUGAAUUGCAGAAUUCAGUGAAUCAUCGAAUCUUUGAACGCAUAUUGCGCUCUCUGGUAUUCCGGAGAGCAUGCUUGUUUGAGUAUCAGUAAACACCUCAACUUCCAUAUCUUUUUUGAAAUGGGAGUUGGACUUGAGUGAUCCCAACGCUUUUCCUCACCGAAAAGUGGCGGGUUACUUGAAAUGCAGGUGCAGCUGGACUUUUCUCUGAGCUAUAAGCAUAUCUAUUUAGUCUGCCUAAAAAACAGAUUAUUACCUUUGCUGCAGCUAACAUAAAGGAGAUUAGUUCUUGUGCUGACUGAUGCAGGAUUCACAAAGACAGCUUCGGCCGACUUUGUAAACUCGAUCUCAAAUCAAGUAAGACUACCCGCUGAACUUAAGCAUAUCAAUAAGCGGAGGA